GUGUUUACCGUAAUGGUAAACUGGUCGAUUUCCACUCGAUUUAUGUCAGUUCAAGUCUGACUGGCCGUA
This 69-nucleotide transfer RNA is filed under the name Fusarium begoniae. Its description in RNAcentral is "tRNA-Gly". Lineage: Eukaryota; Fungi; Ascomycota; Sordariomycetes; Hypocreales; Nectriaceae. The record is from RNAcentral.